UGGGGAAUAUUGCACAAUGGGCGCAAGCCUGAUGCAGCCAUGCCGCGUGUAUGAAGAAGGCCUUCGGGUUGUAAAGUACUUUCAGCGGGGAGGAAGGGAGUAAAGUUAAUACCUUUGCUCAUUGACGUUACCCGCAGAAGAAGCACCGGCUAACUCCGUGCCAGCAGCCGCGGUAAUACGGAGGGUGCAAGCGUUAAUCGGAAUUACUGGGCGUAAAGCGCACGCAGGCGGUUUGUUAAGUCAGAUGUGAAAUCCCCGGGCUCAACCUGGGAACUGCAUCUGAUACUGGCAAGCUUGAGUCUCGUAGAGGGGGGUAGAAUUCCAGGUGUAGCGGUGAAAUGCGUAGAGAUCUGGAGGAAUACCGGUGGCGAAGGCGGCCCCCUGGACGAAGACUGACGCUCAGGUGCGAAAGCGUGGGGAGCAAACAGU
RNAcentral lists this ribosomal RNA (429 nucleotides) under Chloroflexota bacterium. RNAcentral's name for it is "Chloroflexi bacterium partial 16S ribosomal RNA". It matches the Rfam family "Bacterial small subunit ribosomal RNA", at positions 355 to 776 of the family's 1533-position model. The record is from RNAcentral. Lineage: Bacteria; Bacillati; Chloroflexota.